ACAGAGGUGGCAAGCGUUGUUCGGAAUUACUGGGCGUAAAGGGCGCGUAGGCGGCCAUCUAAGUCAGACGUGAAAUCCCCCGGCUUAACCUGGGAACUGCGUCUGAUACUGGACGGCUUGAGUAUGGGAGAGGGAUGUAGAAUUCCAGGUGUAGCGGUGAAAUGCGUAGAUAUCGGGAGGAACACCUGUGGCGAAAGCGGCGCACUGGACCACAACUGACGCUGAUGCGCGAAAGCUAGGGGAGCAAACAGGA
RNAcentral lists this ribosomal RNA (253 nucleotides) under uncultured prokaryote. RNAcentral describes it as "partial 16S ribosomal RNA". It matches the Rfam family "Bacterial small subunit ribosomal RNA", at positions 525 to 777 of the family's 1533-position model. The record is from RNAcentral.